Long non-coding RNA from Rhododendron vialii, 1267 nucleotides. RefSeq lists it as uncharacterized. Lineage: Eukaryota; Viridiplantae; Streptophyta; Magnoliopsida; Ericales; Ericaceae. The record is from RefSeq and is a predicted model, not a curated record. The transcript is spliced from 2 exons.
CUUAACUAAGUUAAGAAACAUAUUCUUAAACAAGCUAACAACUCAACCACUGGUUGUAGUUGAUUGGAUGUGACACGUGUAUAGAUUUUUCAAUAAUGCUACAUUGAUAACAAUUCAAACUCAAUACCAUUCAUAACACCUCACAGACAUGUGGGGUCUACACACCAGUGCAUGUGGGCUCCACAUGUAUGUGAGGGGUUGUAAAUGAUGUUGUGUUUGGAUUGUUGUGUAGAUUUUUGUUUUGGAGAACAACCUAUCAUGGUAGAGUAAUUAUUUAGUGAUUUUGUGCACCUCGCGUCCCUCAUGCAUUAUACAUUUGUAUAAGGUUCAUACACUUAGUUCUGAAUCCUACAAAAAUAUGUGAUUUAGAUAGAAAUUAGAGCGAGUGCAUAAAAUGAAGAAUUAUGCUACCUACGAUUUGUCACUAGACUUGCACUUCUUGGAGAAAAUAACGAAGGCAUAAGUAAAGAAAAAAAGAGAGGAAAUUAUAGAAGAAACAAAAAGAAUUGAUUUUCACACUCUGUUUUCCUCCAAAUGAACCUCUCUCUUUUUUAGUGAUGUAAAAUUUCAUGAUUACCCUUUUCAUGUGUGAAGGAAAAAAUGCAUGAAGGGUAGUUUACUAGUUUUGUAAUUUUACAUGGAUAAAGACAAGAAAUAGAGUGCACUUGGACAAAAAAGGAGUAUGAAAAUCAAUUUAAAAAAAGAGAGAAAGAAUAGUGGAGUACAAUUCGCCCCAACCCCUAUAAAUAGAAGCCCAAGGCACAUAUUCUAAAACAUGGAAGGAGAGCAUCAUAAAGCAUAUGGCAUUUAUAUACAACAAGGGAGAAGAUUACCAAGCAAGAAUACCAUGGUGGAAACAUUUCAGGGUAUGAAGGUUAAAGAACGCGUGGAAUACUCAUUUAAGCAAGAAAACAAACUUAAAUAGUGAUUUAGAAGAAGGAUGAGGUUAGAUGGUCUUAGGGCCUCGACCUCGAACCUUCACCAUGGCUAGGUCAUGGCCAUUAAACACUUGUUGGUUCUUAGGGCCUCGACAUCGAACCUUCGCCAUGUUUAGAUCCGUGAAAAUAAUAGCUGAUGUCUGAUUCAAUUACUUAGAUGCUAGCUAAGUUUUUGUGAUGUAUGCUGAUCUAAGUGUAUGCAUGCGUGAAAAUACUAGCUGAUGUCUGAUCCAAUUACUUAGAUGCUAGCUAAGUUUUUGUGAUGCAUGCUGAUCUAAGUGUAUGCAUGCGUUCAGAAGGCAAUAUAUAUGCUCAAGUUUAAUCUAAAA